UAAAAGGAUGAUGCACCAUCAAUAACUCACUCUGAGACAUAAAGGCGAGAUAUCGGCUUUUAUUGACUGGAAGAAGGAACCAGCAGUGAGUGACCACCAUACUACAACCUGGAGACUGAGGCCGAGCAUCAGGCCUCGAUCGACUUUAUACCGGGGUCUGUGGGAGGAGCCACAGGAGCAGUCAGCAGGGGGCGUGUCCAGACAGGCACACGUAGUUCACCACACAGGAUAAAGAGAGUUGAUCUUUGAAUUCCUCCACAUUGAAGCUUUGAUGCAUUCUAAAUGUGAGUUGUUGACCAUGGUGAUAAACCGUGGAACUCUGAAGAAGGAGGGGGAGAUUGGAAGGACAACAUUUCCGGUGUGUGACGAGACUGAGGUUCAGGUGACCAUUGGAGUGACUCAUGGUUGAUUCGGGAGGCUGGUGGAAACACAUCUCUUUCAAGCCGAAUGUCUACAAACAAUGAGAAAGCUCCAGUUUCUUUACACUUCAAGAGAAAUAUGUUAGCUUCAGAAGUACGGAACUUCAGCUACCUCACUACCAUCUGCUGUGACGUGGAAACAAGUGGCAUCUCCUUCCAUGCAGUACCUCUGAAAGGAGACAGAAACAGAAAAUGGAACGUUUUCUUCAGAGAAAUCGUUCUCCUAGAUUCUGAGGUACAGAACAGAUUAACAAGUGACACUUCGAAUACGAUAAAGCCAGCAGUUCAGAAGCCUAAUGGACUGGGGGAAGAAACCAUUUCUCAUCCUGACCGUUCCUGUUUUUAUGCAUCGGAGUCUCCUGCCUGAAAGUCAAAGAGGUGCUGGAUGGAUGGGUGGUGUGUUGCCUUUAUGGCAUUUGUUUAGUUUAUAAUAUUUUCGCUUUAGUAAUUCAUUCAUUAGCAUUUUCUAGUUAAAGUUAAGAUUGUUUAAAGUAAAUUCGUUGUCUGUGAUAUAUCGCGGCAUGCAAUGACAUCACACCUGGUUUUGCCGCGUCUUGUGGGAAAAUACCAGUUUGGAGAAACGGGAAGGAGGGGGCUCACAUGUGCAGGAUCAGCGCAAGAAAAGUUUUCUUUCUACGCACUAGAAACAUCAGUGAAGCAACGCCGUAAGUUCAUGAGAUAAUCGAUAUGUUGAAUUAAAAAUGUUAAUGCUGAUUCUGUUAAAAGUAAUGACGGUUGAUAGGGUUUAUGUUUUCGUUAGUUAAAGAGUUGCGGAUAGUUUGUGUUGAAGUGUAUUUAAAGCAGUCAAUGGCGUAGGCAGAUUCUGACUGUAUGCUGCACAUUAAUGUAAUGUAGUUGUUGUAGUUUUACUUUUGCAAGUAUUUAUGAUGUAAAUGUGAUAUCAAGAAGGAAACAAAUACUGUAUACAGUUUGUAUUGUUUUAUCAACAGUUUUCACCAUACGUUAAUGUGGAAGAGUGAACAGUAAACGGUUAAUCUUACUGCGAUCCUGUUUUCAUUGACUAUGGUUUACCUCGGUGUUUAGUUCAGAAUUCUCUUACACCUGAGCGAGAACACUACAGUGAAAAGGCGGCAUUAUCAGGUGUUUCAACUGCUGCAAUGACAACUCGAUCCAGCAUCAAGUCGUUGCCAUCCAGCGACAGGGGCAGUAGGGCAUCAUCAAGUAAGGCUGCCCAUGCAAGAGCUAAGGCAGAAGCCGCCAAGGUGCAAGCGUUCUACGCCGAACAAGAAGCAAAAUUGAAAAUGGAAGCGGCUGCCAGAGAAGCCGAAAACCAGGUGGAAAGGGUAAGGAUAGCGUCAGAGUUAGAAGUGCUGACGCUACACCGAGAAGCCAAAGUUGCCAGGGUGGAAGCAGAGAUAAUAGAAAGUGCUGAAGAAAUGCACAAUCUGGUUGAUGUAAAAUCUACUUCAGAAAAGAUCAGAUUGGAAUGCACAAGCGACUACGUCCGAUCUCAAAUAGACUUGAAGAUUCGUUCUUCCUCUCCAUACUUAUACGAUUACACCCCAUUUCAUGAGGAGUCUCAGAGAGGCCCAAUUGCAUCACAUCCAUCCAAGGAAGACAAUUUACCCUCGCAACUCCUCGAUGAAUUCAAGAAUGAAAGGGCUGAUGACAAAUACUUCUCGGCACCAAACUUACCAGAUUUGGCAAGAAGAGAGGCAAAGGCUGAAUUCAGAACAGCAAAUUCCAUAACAGAUGUACUCCCUCAGUCAUAUACCCGCCGACAUAUCCCCCCAGGCCGCAUGCCACUUGCAGUUGAACCCAUGGCACAGUAUUUAACACAACGAGAUCUCGUCACUUCAAGACUAUACCAGUUUGUCGAUAAACCUGAAAAUUACCGUGCAUGGUACUCCACAUUCACCAACGCUAUUGACGGAGUCCAGCUCAGAGCAACCCAAGAGUUGGAUCUUAUGGCGAAAUGGCUGGGAAAAGAAUCAUGCGAACAGGUGAGACACAUACGUUCAGUGUACAUCAACAACCCCAAGCUAGCCUUACGCGAAGCAUGGGAGAGACUUUGGGAGGGCUAUGCGGCCCCAGAAAUUAUUGAAUUGGCACUAUACCGAUGUCUGGAAAAUUUUCCUAAGGUGUCAGCCAAGGACCACACUAAGUUAAGAGAACUCGGAGAUUUACUCAUGAAGAUUCAAGGCACCAAAGAAGAUGGCUACUCAACUGGUCUAGUAUACCUAGAUACUCCAUACGUGAUUAGACAAAUCGUAGUCAAACUUCCAUUUGGGGUGCAGGAAAGGUGGGUGUCCAUUGGCGCAGAAUACAAGGAAGAGAACAAUGGUCGAUUUCCUCCCUUUGAAUAUUUCACUAGGUUUGUGUGCAAGGAGGCGAAGAAGUGAAAUGACCCUAGCCUCAUGGGUCCAGGAAGCAGUACAAUUUACACCAAGUCAGAUAAAUCCACUUUGAAUAAUUUCAACAUUAAUAAACCUGUCUCAGUGCUUAAGACUGAAGCCUUUACAACUAACAAUGACCCUAGCAAGCCUUGUCCAUUGCAUAACAAACCCCACCCCCUCAAAAAAUGCAGAACGUUUAGGGAAAAACCCCUUGAAGACAGGUUGGCUCUCCUCAAGGAGAAAAGAAUGUUUUAAAUGCUGCUCCUCUACCUCUCACCUUGCUAGAGAGUGUACGAUCGCUGUGAAGUGCCCGGAAUGUAGUAGCACUAAUCAGGAUCGGGCCAUGCAUCCCGGCCAAUUACCGCAAACCAAUAAGGCUCCUUCACCCCCACAAAAGGACGGUGGGGAGAGAGAGGCUCACUCCAGGACAACUGUUGUCAGCUCGAGCUGCACAGAAGUUUGCAGUCAAGCUCAGUCAAGCUGUUCUUGUUCAGAGAUCUGCCUCACUUAGGUGUACCCUAAGGGAGCCAAAGACAAGGCCAUCAAAGCCUAUGUAAUUCUGGACGAUCAGAGCAAUCGCUCACUAGUCAGUCCAGAGUUCUUUGACUUGUUCAACAUUGAGAGUAAUCAGUUCCCAUACUACCUUAGAACUUGCUCAGGCAGCGUGGAAACCUAUAGAAGGAAGGCAGAAGGCUUCCAGCUCGAGUCCCUGGAUGGUCUUAGAGUGCAAUGAAAUUUUGAAGAACUGCACUGAGAUCCUGACACCAAGUGCAGUGCUACACCAGCCACAUCUCCACCACAUUGCCAAGCACAUCCCAGAACUGGAUCCAAAAGCAGAAAUACUCCUGCUAUUAGGAAGAGAUGUUCUCCGGGUGCACAAGGUUAGGCAGCAGGUCAAUGGACCACACAACGCCCCCUUUGCCUAACGCCUGGAUCUGGGCUGGGUGGUGAUAGGAGAGGUGUGUCUUGGCGAUGUACACAAACCGACAGUUAACACACUCAAGAACAAUGUGCUAGAGAGUGACCGCUAUUCAAUUUUUCAACCCCGCACAAGUUUCAUGUGUAUCAAGGAAGCACGACAAGGCUUUAACAAAUGUAAAGUAACCGACAAGAGGCUGGGUCAGUCAGUCUUCGCGCAAACUGAGCAUGCUUAUAAACUUGCUCCAUCAGCUCAAGAGAUCAUUUUCUUAAAAAUAAUGGACACCAAGGUCUUCAGAGAUGAAGCAAAUAAUUGGGUCACCCCACUACCUUUCAGAGAACCACGCCAGUGCUUGCCAAACAACAAAGAGCAGGCAGUCAAGCUGUUCAUGUCCUUGCAAAAAAGCCUGAAAAGGAAACCCGAGAUGCAGCAACACACCUGAUUGACCCACGAGGUACUGUGCACACUAAUGGCAGAGGUCACAGCCAUUAUAAAUGCACGAGCACUCCUACCUGUGUCUUCUGACCCGGAAAACCCCUUCAUACUCUCACCAUCAAUGCUCCUUACGCAGAAUGCAGGAGCUCCCCCUCCACCAGGGGGCUUCUCUGAUAAGGAUUUGUACACAAAGCAAUGGAGACAGGUCCAGGCUCUGGCAAAUCAGUUCUGGUCUCGUUGGAGACAGGAAUAUCUACCUUUGUUACAACACAGACAAAAGUGGACAGAACCCUGCAGGAAUCUUCAAGUUGGAGAUUUAGUCCUGCUCAGGGACAAGCAAAUCGCCCACAACAGCUGGCCAAUGGCCAGAAUCACUGCCACAUUCCCUAGUAGGGAUGGACAUGUCAGGAAGGUUGAGUUGAAAACUACCAACCAAGGUGAUGUGAAAAUUUACCAAAGGCCAGUUACAGAAGUCAUUCUACUUCUACCUAAGGACUGAUUUAGAGACUGAAGUUUUGUAUUAUGUUCAUUGUGACCUUACGAAGGUCAAGCGGGGAGUGUGUUGCCUUUAUGGCAUUUGUUUAGUUUAUAAUAUUUUUGCUUUAGUAACUUGUUUGUUAGCAUUUUCUAGUUAAAGUUAAGAUUGUUUAAAGUAAAUUCGUUGUCUGUGAUAUAUCACGGCAUGCGAUGACGUCACUCGCGGUUUCGCUGCAUCUUGUGGGAAAAUACCGGUUUGGAGAAACGGGAAGGAGGGGGCUCACACGUGUAGGAUCAGCACAAGAAAAGUUGUCUUUCUACGCACUGGAAACAUAGUGAAGCAACACCGUAAGUUCAUGUGAUAAUCGAUAUGUUGAAUUUAAAAUGUUAACGCUGAUUCUGUUAAAAGUAAUGAUGGUUGAUAAGGUUUAUGUUUUGGUUAGUUAAAGAGUUGCGGAUAGUUUACGUUGAAGUGUAUUUAAAGCAGUCAAUGGCGUAGGUAGAUUCUGACUGUAUGCUGCACUUUAAUGUAAUGUAGUUGUUGUAGUUUUACUUUUGCAAGUAUUUAUGAUGUAAAUGUGAUAUCAAGAAGGAAACAAAUACUGUAUACAUUUUGUAUUGUUUUAUCAACAGUUUUCACCAUACACUAAUGUGGAAGAGUGAACAGUAAAUGGUUAAUCUUACUGCGAUCCUGUUUUCAUUGACUAUGGUUUACCUCGGUGUUUAGUUCAGAAUUCUCUUACACCUGAGCGAGAACACUACAGGUGGAAUCCUUAGUAACGAGGGCCCUGCGUAAACAGUGCUCCUGAUAAAUGUUCCUGAUGGAUGGUAGAGAGACCCCUAUGAUUCCCUCAGCUGUUCUCACGGUCCUUUGUACAAGCUUCAAGUCUGAUGCUCGAUUGCUUCCAUACCAGACAGAUGCAACUUGUCAAGAUGCUCUCAAUGGUGCUCCUGAAAAAUGCAAUUAAGAUUGGGGGUGGAAACCUUGUUUGCCUCAAUCUUCUUAGGAAAUGGAGGUGAUAUUAGGGACCAGGUGAGCUCACCCGUGAUAUGAAUUCCCAGGAAUUUGGUACCCUUAACUCUCUCUACGGAGGGACCAUGUACAUGCUGAGGGGGAUGGUUUGUCUGCAACUCCCCGAAGUCCACAACGAUUUCCUUUGUCUCCUCCACUUUCAGGCUUUAUUGUCGUAUUGAAAACUUAAAUUUUUACAUAGCUUGACAGAAUGGAUGGACCCAUGCUGUUCGUCCUCGUAGACAACGUCAACAUAAAAAGUCGGCCAUUCUGCACUGCAAUGUAUUUUUAAAAUACUUUAUCAAAGGGGGUAGUGUAAUCUUGGAUUUUUUAACUCAAGAGGACUGUGGAUAUUUAAGCAGAGAUUGCAAGACUUUUGGGUAUUAAGUUAAUUGUGAACUACAGGAUCAGUGAAGUAGAAGGUAUGGAAUUACCUGGUGAAUGGCAGAGCAGGAACAAGGAGCUGAAGAACCUACUUCUGCUUCCACUUCUUGUAUUCUUGAGCUCAGUCAAAUUGUGUACUCAGCUGCUUUUGGAAUCACAGGUUGAAUCGAACGGGCUGAUGACGAGCUUGUGCGAAGGCCGGGGUCUCAGAGCAUGGCCAACCAUCACACGUACCCAUUUUUAGCAACAUCUGGUGGACGGGAACAUAAACAUUAUCUGAUAUCUUUACAAUCUCAAGCGCUUGGUGACGAAGUUCUAAAUCUACAGAAACCCAUCCAAGUUUGGCAUUGCUGAGAAAGCCAGCAUUUAUUGUGCAUCCCUUUUUACCCUUGAGAAAGGGGUGGCAAGUGACCUUCUCAAACUACUGUAGUCUGGAUGACAACACAUCCUCAAUGCUGCUCAGGAAUGAGUUUCAGAAACAAGGACAAUGGAUAAAUGGAGAUAGGAUUCUGGGCUGAGGUGUGCACAUAUACUAUACCAGCUAGUGAUAGCAGAUUUCUUACCCCAAUGGAUACAGUGAACUAGAUGGAUUUUGGCAACAAUUCAGGAGUAGUUUUGUGCUAUCAAGGUUCAAAGUACAUUUAUUAUCAAAGUAUGUAUGCAGUUUUUCCACAGACAGCCAUGAAUCAAUGAAAGAAAACCACGGACCCAUUCUAAGAAAAGAAAUGUCAACCCCCUCCCAAUGCACAAAUGGCAAAAAACAGCAAAAAAAAACACAGACUAUAAAACACCAAACCACAAAUCAUCAGUACUCAUUCAAGUUUUUGUUUCCAAAUUCACAUGAUUAAACAAAUUUAAAUUCUACAGCUGCUGCAGUAAAUUUGAGAUUAUCUCAAGAUUGUUAGUCCAAGUCUUUGGAUAGUUAAUCUUGGAUCUUAAUUUCUACACUAUCACCAUAUCCUGGGAACAACCAAUCAGAUCAGGGCUGGGCAUUAAACCUGAGCUGAAUGCCCAGUAAUUUGUGAUUCAUUAUUGUGAAAACAAAAGUUAUACUUGUUUACUUUGGACAAAAUAACAUACUCAUCAAUUAAGGGUCGGCACAACUUUGUGGGCCGAGGAGCCUGUGCAGUGCUAUAAUAUUCCAUUUUCUAUGUUCUAUAACAUAAUUGACCCAAGCAAAUUAUUCAUAAUGCCCAAAAUACAAAGAAAAUAAAAAAUAGACAAUUCUAAAUAUAACAUUAUAGUCAACAGCAAAUUCUUCAAUCUAUUAUCACUGUCAUAGAUGCAGUCAUGUAAUGUCUCUUUUAGAUAAGAAAUGUAUUUUAUAUUCUGUAAAAAAUUAGGGCAUGUUUUCAAGAUUUUAAACAUAUUAUUGACAUGUAUUAAUAGGUACAGAUGCAGGCAAGUAAUUUUUAUACCAAUAAUUAUGAAUAUUAUCACUGCUGGUAUUUUUCCUGUCGUGGGUAUUUUUAUAACUGGUUUUGGCAUUCCAUUGUAACUUCAAAAGUCUGCAUGUCUUCAAUUGUGCGAGUGCAUUCUUUUACUAGCUUGCUUCCAGAUUGUGCGUCAUCAUGCUUGACCAGAUAUUAGACCAAAAGUUCCUUAUCUCUGUGUUUGUUGGUAAUUCUGUGCUGUGGUUUCUGACAUUUUGUUGCAUUGAAUUUAGUUUCAAAAUCCUUGUAUAAACAUUUUUCACUCUU
This is an RNA transcript of Hypanus sabinus (Atlantic stingray), 7703 nucleotides long. RefSeq lists it as uncharacterized. The transcript is spliced from 6 exons. The record is from RefSeq and is a predicted model, not a curated record. NCBI's taxonomy places the organism in Eukaryota, Metazoa, Chordata, Chondrichthyes, Myliobatiformes, Dasyatidae.